GACAGAAAACACUGCUAAUUUGAAAUGUAUAUGGUGAGGGGAAAGUUGUCUCUCUGCUUUGUGAUUCACAGGUGGCAGACCAUUAUGACCCGAGUCAGUCUUUGAGAGGUGUGUUUUUUUUCUUAUUGCUUUCAUGACUGUUGCAACAAUGUAUUUGGAUAUGGGGGUAUCUCUUGUGAACAUUUUAACCCAUCAGGUACAUAGAAGACGGCUUCAAGGCACAAAGCUUCUCAGUUGUAAGACAUUUUGAUUAUGUAUGUUCCACAAUAAAGCCCAUGUGAUUUAGGAUUGAAAUAGGAAGACAUUUAGAAGUUGUGUAUGUGGAAGGAAAGGCAUGUGUGCCUAUUGCUUUAGUCGACAGAUGUCGCAGCCUUGUCUUGUGGAAAAGUGAAUCUUGGGCAACAGGGUUUUCAGAAGGUGUAAGGUAAGCAAAAUGAUCUCGCUUGAAUGGUUUCAGGAUCCACAAAGAUUGAGAGGAGUGGCAAAGAAAGUGCAGAAAAAAGUUUGUACCAUCUUAUGUAGGAAGACAUUUGGAAGUUGUGUUCGUGGAAGGAAAGGCCUGUGUGUCUAUUGCUUUACUCGACAGAUGUCGCAGCCUUGUCUUGUGGAAAAGUGAAUCUUGGGCAACAGGGUUUUCAGAAGGUGUAAGGUAAGCAAAAUGAUCUCGCUUGAAUGGUUUCAGGAUCCACAAAGAUUUAGAGGAGCAGCAAAGAAAGUGUGUACCAUCUUAUGUAGGAAGACAUUUGGAAGUUGUGUUUGCGGAAGGAAAGAAACGUCUGUGUGUCUAUUGCUUUACUCGACAGAUGUCGCAGCCUUGUCUUGUGGAAAAGUGAAUCUUGGGCAACAGGGAUUUCAGCAGGUGUAAGGUAAGCAAAAUGAUCUUGCUUGAAUAGUUUCAGGAUCCACACAGAUUGAGAGGAGCAGCAAAGAAAGUGAAGAAAAAAGUUUGUACCAUCUUAUGUAGGAAGACAUUUGGAAGUUGUGUUUGCGGAAGGAAAGGCUUGUGUGUCUAUUGCUUUACUCGACAGAUGUCGCAGCCUUGUCUUGUGGAAAAGUGAAUCUUGGACAACAGGGAUUUCAGCAGGUGUAAGGUAAGCAAAAUGAUCUCGCUGGAAUGGUUUCAGGAUCCACACAGAUUGAGAGGAGCAGCAAAGAAAGUGAAGAAAAGAGUUUGUACCAUCUUAUGUAGGAAGACAUUUGGAAGUUGUGUUUGCGGAAGGAAAGAAAGGCCUGUGUGUCUAUUGCUUUACUCGACAGAUGUCGCGGCCUUGUCUUGUGGAAACGUGAAUCUUGGGCAACAGGGAUUUCAGCAGGUGUAAGGUAAGCAAAAUGAUCUUCCUUGAAUAGUUUCAGGAUCCACACAGAUUGAGAGGAGCAGCAAAGAAAGUGAAGAAAAAAGUUUGUAACAUCUUAUGUAGGAAGACAUUUGGAAGUUGUGUUUGCGGAAGGAAAGGCUUGUGUGUCUAUUGCUUUACUCGACAGAUGUCGCAGCCUUGUCUUGUGGAAAAGUGAAUUUUGGGCAACACGGUUUUCAGAAGGUGUAAGGUAAGCAAAAUGAUCUCACUUGAAUGGUUUCAGGAUCCACAAAGAUUGAGAGGAGCGGCAAAGAAAGUGCAGAAAAAAGUUUGUACCAUCUUAUGUAGGAAGACAUCUGGAAGUUGUGUUCGCGGAAGGAAAGGCCUGUGUGUCUAUUGCUUUACUCGACAUGUCGCAGCCUUGUCUUGUUUAAAAGUGAAUCUUGGGCAACAGGGUUUUCAGAAGGUGUAAGGUAAGCAAAAUGAUCUCGCUUGAAUGGUUUCAGGAUCCACAAAGAUUGAGAGGAGCGGCAAAGAAAGUGAAGAAGUAAGUGUGUACCAUCUUAUGUAGGAAGACAUUUGGAAGUUGUGUUUGCGGAAGGAAAGAAAGGCCUGUGUAUCUAUUGCUUUACUCGACAGAUGUCGCAGCCUUGUCUUGUGGAAAAGUGAAUCUUGGGCAACAGGGAUUUCAGCAGCUGUAAGGUAAGCAAAAUGAUCUUGCUUGAAUAGUUUCAGGAUCCACACAGAUUGAGAGGAGCAGCAAAGAAAGUGAAGAAAAAAGUUUGUACCAUCUUAUGUAGGAAGACAUUUGGAAGUUGUGUUUGCGGAAGGAAAGGCCUGUGUGUCUAUUGCUUUACUCAACAGAUGUCGCAGCCUUGUCUUGUGGAAAAGUGAAUCUUGGGCAACAGGGUUUUCAGAAGGUUUAAGGUAAGCAAAAUGAUCUCGCUUGAAUGGUUUCAGGAUCCACAAAGAUUUAGAGGAGCAGCAAAGAAAGUGAAAAAGAAAGUGUGUACCAUCUUAUGUAGGAAGACAUUUGGAAGUUGUGUUUGCGGAAGGAAAGAAAGGCCUGUGUGUCUAUUGCUUUACUCGACAGAUGUCGCAGCCUUGUCUUGUGGAAAAGUGAAUCUUGGGCAACAGGGAUUUCAGCAGGUGUAAGGUAAGCAAAAUGAUCUUGCUUGAAUAGUUUCAGGAUCCACACAGAUUGAGAGGAGCAGCAAAGAAAGUGAAGAAAAAAGUUUGUACCAUCUUAUGUAGGAAGACAAUUGGAAGUUGUGUUUCCAGAAGGAAAGGCCUGUGUGUCUAUUGCUUUACUCGACAGAUGUCGCAGCCUUGUCUUGUGGAAAAGUGAAUCUUGAGCAACAGGGUUUUCAGAAGGUGUAAGGUAAGCAAAAUGACCUCGCUUGAAUGGUUUCAGGAUCCACAAAGAUUGAGAGGAGCGGCAAAGAAAGUGAAGAAGAAAGUGUGUACCAUCUUAUGUAGGAAGACAUCUGGAAGUUGUGUUUGCGGAAGGAAAGAAAGGCCUGUGUGUCUAUUGCUGUACUCGACAGAUGUCGCAGCCUUGUCUUGUGGAAAAGUGAAUCUUGGGCAACAGGGAUUUCAGCAGGUGUAAGGAAAGCAAAAUGAUCUUGCUUGAAUAGUUUCAGGAUCCACACAGAUUGAGAGGAGCAGCAAAGAAAGUGAAGAAAAAAGUUUGUACCAUCUUAUGUAGGAAGACAAUUGGAAGUUGUGUUUCCAGAAGGAAAGGCCUGUGUGUCUAUUGCUUUACCAGACAGAUGUCGCAGCCUUGUCUUGUGGAAAAGUGAAUCUUGAGCAACAGGGUUUUCAGAAGGUGUAAGGUAAGCAAAAUGACCUCGCUUGAAUGGUUUCAGGAUCCACAAAGAUUGAGACGAGCGGCAAAGAAAGUGCAGAAAAAAGUUUGUACCAUCUUAUGUAGGAAGACAUUCGGAAGUUGUGUGCGCGGAAGGAAAGGCCUGUGUGUCUAUUGCUUUACUCGACAGAUGUCGCAGCCUUGUCUUGUGGAAAAGUGAAUCUUGGGCAACAGGGUUUUCAGAAGGUGUCAGGUAAGCAAAAUGAUCUCGCUUGAAUGGUUUCAGGAUCCACAAAGAUUUAGAGGAGCAGCAAAGAAAGUGAAAAAGAAAGUGUGUACCAUCUUAUGUAGGAAGACAUUUGGAAGUUGUGUUUGCGUAAGGAAAGAAAGGCCUGUGUGUCUAUUGCUUUACUCGACAGAUGUCGCAGCCUUGUCUUGUGGAAAAGUGAAUCUUGGGCAACAGGGUUUUCAGCAGGUGUAAGGUAAGCAAAAUGAUCUCGCUGGAAUGGUUUCAGGAUCCACACAGCAAAGAAAGUGAAGAAAAGUGUUUGCACCAUCUUAUGUAGGAAGACAUUUGGAAGUUGUGUUUGCGGAAGGAAAGAAAGGCCUGUGUGUCUAUUGCUUUACUCGACAGAUGUCGCAGCCUUGUCUUGUGGAAAAGUGAAUCUUGGGCAACAGGGAUUUCAGCAGGUGUAAGGUAAGCAAAAUGAUCUUGCUUGAAUAGUUUCAGGAUCCACACAGAUUGAGAGGAGCAGCAAAGAAAGUGAAGGAAAAAGUUUGUACCAUCUUAUGUAGGAAGACAUUCGGAAGUUGUGUUCGCGGAAGGAAAGGCCUGUGUGUCUAUUGCUUUACUCGACAGAUGUCGCAGCCUUGUCUUGUGGAAAUGUGAAUCUUGGGCAACAGGGUUUUCAGAAGGUGUGAGGUAAGCAAAAUGAUCUCGCUUGAAUGGUUUCAGGAUCCACAAAGAUUUAGAGGAGCAGCAAAGAAAGUGAAAAAGAAAGUGUGUACCAUCUUAUGUAGGAAGACAUUUGGAAGUUGUGUUUGCGGAAGGAAAGAAAGGCCUGUGUGUCUAUUGCUUUACUCGACAGAUGUCGCAGCCUUGUCUUGUGGAAAAGUGAAUCUUGGGCAACAGGGUUUUCAGAAGGUGUAAGGUAAGCAAAAUGAUCUUGCUUGAAUGGUUUCAGGAUCCACAAAGAUUGAGAGGAGCGGCAAAGAAAGUGCAGAAAAAAGUUUGUACCAUCUUAUGUAGGAAGACAUCUGGAAGUUGUGUUCGCGGAAGGAAAGGCCUGUGUGUCUAUUGCUUUACUCGACAGAUGUAGCAGCUUUGUCUUGUGGAAAAGUGAAUCUUGGGCAACAGGGUUUUCAGCAGGUGUAAGGUAAGCAAAAUGAUCUCGCUUGAAUGGUUUCAGGAUCCACAAAGAUUGAGAGGAGCAGCAAAGAAA
Long non-coding RNA from Spea bombifrons (plains spadefoot toad), 4544 nucleotides. RefSeq lists it as uncharacterized. NCBI's taxonomy places the organism in Eukaryota, Metazoa, Chordata, Amphibia, Anura, Pelobatidae. The record is from RefSeq and is a predicted model, not a curated record. The transcript is spliced from 2 exons.